RNAcentral lists this transfer RNA (71 nucleotides) under Benthalbella linguidens (longfin pearleye). RNAcentral's name for it is "tRNA-Gly". It matches the Rfam family "tRNA". From Rfam's summary of the family: Transfer RNA (tRNA) molecules are approximately 80 nucleotides in length. The record is from RNAcentral. Lineage: Eukaryota; Metazoa; Chordata; Actinopteri; Aulopiformes; Scopelarchidae.
AUCUUUCUAGUAUAGCACCAGUAUACGUGACUUCCAAUCACCCGGCCCUAGUUAAAAUCUAGGGAAAGAUA